Non-coding RNA from Enterococcus durans ATCC 6056, 183 nucleotides. NCBI's taxonomy places the organism in Bacteria, Bacillati, Bacillota, Bacilli, Lactobacillales, Enterococcaceae. The record is from Rfam.
UUAGAUAUGCUAUAAUAGUCAAGACAGUAAAGUUUGAAGACGGUGGCGACUUCUGGAAAGGUGGUGGUGCUUAUGAAUGUAAGUGCUAAAAUCUAUGAAAGGAGUAAGCCUUUUGUCCGCAUAUGAGACAAUUCAAACCAUUCUUGGUUUUGGUAUGUUUACCAUUGCUUUGAUUAGUUUGAU